Molecule: ribosomal RNA, 397 nt
Filed under: uncultured bacterium
Lineage: Bacteria
Description: partial 16S ribosomal RNA
Rfam family: Bacterial small subunit ribosomal RNA
Source: RNAcentral
AUACGUAGGUGACAAGCGUUAUCCGGAUUUACUGGGCGUAAAGGGCGUGUAGGCGGUCUUGCAAGUCAGAAGUGAAAUUCCCGGGCUUAACUUGGGCGCUGCUUCUGAAACUGCUUUACUUGAGUGCUGGAGAGGAUAGUGGAAUUCCUAGUGUAGCGGUAAAAUGCGCAGAUAUUAGGAGGAACACCGGUGGCGAAGGCGGCUAUCUGGACAGUAACUGACGCUGAGGCGCGAAAGCACGGGGAGCAAACAGGAUUAGAUACCCUGGUAGUCCGUGCCGUAAACGAUGAAUACUAGGUGUAGGGGGUAUCGACUCCCUCUGUGCCGCAGUUAACACAAUAAGUAUUCCGCCUGGGGAGUACGGCCGCAAGGUUGAAACUCAAAUGAAUUGGCGGGG